UGAGGUUUGGAGGGAUAAGUGGCUUGCUGCAAGUUCCACAAGACAGAGAGGCCAGAUUUCAAUCCAGUCAGUCUGACUCCACCCAUGACAAUCCAGAAGAGGCUAGAGGCUCAUUGACCAGGCAUUCUAGAAGGGAUUCCUGCAGUGUUCUCCUUGAUAUGACAUACGUAGACAGCUCCAAAGGACAGAAGACAUGAGUUUGGAAACCAACCGAGAUGUCUCCAGGUGGCUCAGGGUCCCCAUCAAGGUGGAACCAAAUGCACCACUCGCUCAGGCUGCUGAUAGCCCCCAUCCAUGAACUCUUUCAGGGUCCUUAAUUUCAGCUUCCUUAUUUGUCCACGUGAUUUCAAAUUCCGCAACCACAUGUAACUAUUCCAAAAGUCAAAGAGGAGAGAUUUUAAAUAAAUAAAACACUUACCUGAAGAUAAGAUGUUAUCUAAGAAAAUAAUUGAUCCUGGCCGGGCGCCGUGGCUCACGCAUGUAAUCCCAGCACUUUGGGAGGUCGAAGCGGGCAGAUCACCUGAGGUCGGGAGUUCGAGACCAGCCGGACUAACAUGGAGAAACCCCGUCUCUACUAAAAAUACAAAAUUAGCUGGGUGUGGUGGCGCAUGCCUGUAAUUCCGGCUACUCAGGAGGCUGAGACAGGAGAAUCGCUUGAACCUGGGACGCCGAGGUUGUGAAAUUGACACCACAUUGAUCACAUCUGAGCUCUGGAAAAAUAACAAAGAACCAGUCCUUUAUCUCCAAGGGUGCUGCUGUCAAACAGUAACUAUUCCCUACCUGACCACUGUGUGGUGCUGCUUACUUUUAAAUUGUGUG
Molecule: long non-coding RNA, 819 nt
Organism: Gorilla gorilla gorilla (western lowland gorilla)
Lineage: Eukaryota; Metazoa; Chordata; Mammalia; Primates; Hominidae
Exons: 4
Source: RefSeq, a predicted model, not a curated record